CUAGUUCCCUGACCAGGGAUUGAAACUGGGCUCCCUGCAUUGGGAGUGUGGAGUCUUAGCCACUGGAUCACCAGGGAGGUCCCUACCUGUCUUCUUUUGAUGAAAACUCACUCUGGAGAAAUGGCAACUGAUGAGGUGCUGCCUGGCUUUUUUCUACGAGAGCUGUAACCUGUGAAAAGAUAUCAUGACCUACAAGUGGGCAAGGACUGUCAUCUAAAUCUUAAGGGAAGAACGUGGAUGCUGCAUAAGAGUGAUUGUAGGAAAGAUCUAAUUAGCUGCCAAGUGCCUUCAGCUACCCACACCUGCUCAACCCACUACCAGAAGGUUUAACCUCCAAGAGGUGACGGAGUACAUUUGUUUGACUCAUAACUGAACCUUUAGCACAGUACCUGGCAUACAGUAGCUGCUUUAUAAGUGCUUGUUGAAUAAACAGAAGAAGAAUC
Bubalus bubalis (water buffalo) is the source of this 443-nucleotide long non-coding RNA. RefSeq lists it as uncharacterized. The record is from RefSeq and is a predicted model, not a curated record. The transcript is spliced from 3 exons. NCBI's taxonomy places the organism in Eukaryota, Metazoa, Chordata, Mammalia, Artiodactyla, Bovidae.